Molecule: ribosomal RNA, 543 nt
Filed under: Triticum aestivum (bread wheat)
Lineage: Eukaryota; Viridiplantae; Streptophyta; Magnoliopsida; Poales; Poaceae
Description: partial small subunit ribosomal RNA
Source: RNAcentral
GCGUUGGAGGACGGCCCAUGGAUGUUUGACAAUGAUCUGGUGGUGAUGAUGGACUUCGUGCCAAGCAAGCGGAUUGAUCAGUAUGUGUUUGAGGAGGUGCCAAUUUGGUUCAGGGUGUUUGGGUUGCCGUUAGGAAAGAUGGAUGAAGACACGGCGAAGGACAUUGGAAAUCUAGUGGGGAAGUUUGUGGAGAUGGAUACAGGGGUAGAUGGGUCAGCCAUGGGCAGGUUCUUGUGGAUAAAGGUGCGGUUGCCGAUCAACAAGCCUCUAAUGAGGGGCGUCUAUCUGGAUGGGGAGGCGGAGAGUGAUGAAGAGAACAGUGUCAAGCAGAUUUUGGUAGUCCAGGACUCCCUCAAGGAGGAACGACCAUUUUGUCGCUUUGAGUUCGAGUACCUACCAGAUUUAUGUUACAUCUGUGGUAUGCUAGGGCAUGUUGACAAAGGGUGCUCGGUGAAACUGAAGAAGGGAGAGAAAGCACAAUUUGGAAGAUGGCUGAAAGCGGAUAUGGGUAGACGCUGGGGUGGCGAGGAAGGAAGGAACUAG